RNAcentral lists this long non-coding RNA (597 nucleotides) under Heterocephalus glaber (naked mole-rat). Its description in RNAcentral is "lncRNA (ENSHGLG00000045958.1)". The record is from RNAcentral. Lineage: Eukaryota; Metazoa; Chordata; Mammalia; Rodentia; Bathyergidae.
CAGGGAUCGAACUCGGGACCUUGUGCCUGCAAGGCAGGCGGUGGAACCACUGAGCUAAAUCCCCAGCCCUCAUAAGUGGGCUUUUAAGAAGUGAUUGGAUAAUGGUGGCAUGAUACUCGUCAGUGGAUUAGUCUACUGACAAAAUUUCUUGAAAAGCCUGAAGUCAGGACUGGGCUUUGAUCGAGUUAUGACUGUUGUCAGCAGAAGACAAGACUCCUUCCACAAUUGCUGGCACAGCCCAAUUCCUCUUGAUGAAGACAGUAAUGAGUCAUGCCAUUGCAUGGACUGUUUUCAGGAAGGCAGUCAAACCAGGACGGGACGAUGUGUUUCGAUUUUCUGUUCUGCCGUCCAGUCUGAAGUGGGGGCAGCAACAGGAAAAGAACCUGUGGUUAUCUUCCCAUCCCGGCUAAGUCAGGUCCUGGACCGUCCAAAGUUGGACUUUGGCACUUUCCCUCUCAGCAACAUUCGAAAGGCUCCCUCGAAGAAUACGAUUUUGUGCUUAAGAGGAAGAGCGCUGGGAGAUGAGCGAGGGGGCGAGCGAGCCGGAAAGAGGAGCGCGGAGAGCGCGGCCGCCCCGCCGUCGGAGGCGCACAGAGC